AUUGAACGCUGGCGGCAGGCUUAACACACGCAAGUCGAGCGGGGGAAGGUAGCUUGCUACCGGACCUAGCGGCGGACGGGUGAGUAAUGCUUAGGAAUCUGCCUAUUAGUGGGGGACAACAUCUCGAAAGGGAUGCUAAUACCGCAUACGUCCUACGGGAGAAGGCAGGGGAUCUUCGGACCUUGCGCUAAUAGAUGAGCCUAAGUCGGAUUAGCUAGUUGGUGGGGUAAAGGCCUACCAAGGCGACGAUCUGUAGCGGGUCUGAGAGGAUGAUCCGCCACACUGGGACUGAGACACGGCCCAGACUCCUACGGGAGGCAGCAGUGGGGAAUAUUGGACAAUGGGGGGAACCCUGAUCCAGCCAUGCCGCGUGUGUGAAGAAGGCCUUAUGGUUGUAAGGCACUUUAAGCGAGGAGGAGGCUACUUUAGUUAAUACCUAGAGAUAGUGGACGUUACUCGCAGAAUAAGCACCGGCUAACUCUGUGCCAGCAGCCGCCGUAA
RNAcentral lists this ribosomal RNA (501 nucleotides) under uncultured bacterium. RNAcentral describes it as "partial 16S ribosomal RNA". It matches the Rfam family "Bacterial small subunit ribosomal RNA", at positions 30 to 523 of the family's 1533-position model. The record is from RNAcentral.